UGUCCCCGUCCCGUUUUGGUCCAUCCCAGCUACAAACGACUUUACCUUUGGUGGAACCUUUAGCUUCCACACACUGUUCAUUCCACUCUCGUUGAACAGCAAGUCUGUCAUGAUCCUUCACCAUAUUUAUAUAUUGUUGAUAUGCCGAACGCAGAAAGUAAAACCCAUCUUUAUUGGGGUUCCAUAUUAACUUAUAUCAUUCUGCUCAACAUCAACAAUAGGGCUCUCCGCCAACGCAAGAGCUGCAAGCUCCUCAUUAAAGAUAGCAUCAACAAUAGACUUCUCCAAGGAUAACUGGGAUUAUGGCCCAGACUGCUAUUUCACAUACCAUUGAUUCUGACAAGGGCCGGAGCCAUCCUGAUCCUCCCAGUGAUGAUGACUUGGUUGCAGAAGGUUGUGUGAAGUCAUGUGCAGAUCAUCAUAAACAGUUAAACAUUAAAAGAUUGUGAUUCUAAUUUUAAGAGUUGUUGUUGUCUUUAUGGUGUUUUAUUGUUAAUUAAAUUAUGACAAAGUAGUAUUUUGUCAGUCUUUAUGGUGUUGCUGAAAGGAGUUCAAGUAUCUGGAAAUGAAUUAUUGAAGAUUCAUUAUUCAUUUUUCAAUUCCAUUGUAAUAUCAUUCCCCUGUUAAUGAAUUGCUUAUUGCUACUGGCAGAUGACCUUGAUGUCCUAAAUAAAACCAAGUUCAUUUUGUUUUGAAAAGAACUGGAUGAGUGCAUAGGAAUGUAAUGUUGAUAUUCCCUCAAA
Glycine soja is the source of this 743-nucleotide long non-coding RNA. RefSeq lists it as uncharacterized. The transcript is spliced from 2 exons. The record is from RefSeq and is a predicted model, not a curated record. Lineage: Eukaryota; Viridiplantae; Streptophyta; Magnoliopsida; Fabales; Fabaceae.